GCCUCUAAUGAUGAUUCAAAAAAUACUUUCGUUCUUCCGAGAUGCGCUAUGCUCAAUGUGGAAACAUUUUGGAGACCUGAACUGAAGAGGC
Small nucleolar RNA from Rosa rugosa (rugosa rose), 91 nucleotides. RefSeq annotates it as small nucleolar RNA Z159/U59. Lineage: Eukaryota; Viridiplantae; Streptophyta; Magnoliopsida; Rosales; Rosaceae. The transcript has a single exon. The record is from RefSeq and is a predicted model, not a curated record.